AGAAUCAACGCUGGCGGCGUGCCUAACACAUGCAAGUCGAACGAGAAAGUGGAGCAAUCCAUCAGUAAAGUGGCGCACGGGUGAGUAACACGUGACUAACCUACCUUUUAGUGGGGGAUAACCUAGGGAAACCUGGGCUAAUACCGCAUAAUACCUACGGGUCAAAGCAGCAAUGCGCUGAAAGAGGGGGUCGCGGUCGAUUAGUUAGUUGGCAGGGUAAUGGCCUACCAAGACUGUGAUCGAUAUCCGGCCUGAGAGGGCGCACGGACACACUGGAACUGAAACACGGUCCAGACUCCUACGGGAGGCAGCAGUGGGGAAUUUUGCGCAAUGGGGGAAACCCUGACGCAGCAACGCCGCGUGGAGGAUGAAGUCCCUUGGGACGUAAACUCCUUUCGAUCGGGACGAUAAUGACGGUACCGGAAGAAGAAGCCCGGCUAACUUCGCGCCAGCAGCCGC
RNAcentral lists this ribosomal RNA (459 nucleotides) under uncultured bacterium. RNAcentral's name for it is "SSU rRNA". It matches the Rfam family "Bacterial small subunit ribosomal RNA", at positions 26 to 518 of the family's 1533-position model. The record is from RNAcentral.